This 128-nucleotide small nuclear RNA is filed under the name Physeter macrocephalus (sperm whale). RNAcentral's name for it is "Physeter catodon (sperm whale) U4 spliceosomal RNA (ENSPCTG00005015304.1)". It matches the Rfam family "U4 spliceosomal RNA". From Rfam's summary of the family: U4 small nuclear RNA (U4 snRNA) is a component of the major U2-dependent spliceosome. The structure of U4 snRNA from yeast and human has been reported. Lineage: Eukaryota; Metazoa; Chordata; Mammalia; Artiodactyla; Physeteridae. The record is from Rfam by way of RNAcentral.
GCUUUUGCGCAGUGGCAGUAUCAUAGCCAAUGAGGUUUAUUUGAGGCGCGAUUAUUGCUAAUUGAAAAAAGUAUUCCCCCAGAUUUUUAGGAAUAGAUUUUGUGAAUUUUUAGUAAAUGAUUCUUAAG